Molecule: ribosomal RNA, 440 nt
Filed under: uncultured bacterium
Lineage: Bacteria
Description: partial 16S ribosomal RNA
Rfam family: Bacterial small subunit ribosomal RNA
Source: RNAcentral
CCUACGGGUGGCAGCAGUGGGGAAUAUUGCACAAUGGGGGCAACCCUGAUGCAGCGACGCCGCGUGAGUGAAGAAGUAAUUCGUUAUGUAAAGCUCUAUCAGCAGGGAAGAAAAUGACGGUACCUGAGUAAGAAGCCCCGGCUAACUACGUGCCAGCAGCCGCGGUAAUACGUAGGGGGCAAGCGUUAUCCGGAUUUACUGGGUGUAAAGGGAGCGUAGGCGGCAGUGCAAGUCUGAAGUGAAAGGCGGGGGCUCAACCCCCGGACUGCUCUGGAAACUGUACGGCUGGAGUGCAGGAGAGGUAAGUGGAAUGCAUAGUGUAGCGGUGAAAUGCGUAGAUAUUAGGCGGAACACCAGUGGCGAAGGCGGUUUACUGGACCACAACUGACGCUGAGACACGAAAGCGUGGGGAGCAAACAGGAUUAGAUACCCGGGUAGUC